This 84-nucleotide unclassified non-coding RNA is filed under the name Pseudomonas deceptionensis. The record is from RNAcentral. Lineage: Bacteria; Pseudomonadati; Pseudomonadota; Gammaproteobacteria; Pseudomonadales; Pseudomonadaceae.
GUGGAAGCGAGCCUGCUCGCGAUGCAGGCGCCGCGGUCUAUCAGGUCAAUACGGUGAUGCAAUCGCGAGCAGGCUCGCUCCCAC